RNAcentral lists this ribosomal RNA (110 nucleotides) under uncultured bacterium. Its description in RNAcentral is "partial 16S ribosomal RNA". It matches the Rfam family "Bacterial small subunit ribosomal RNA", at positions 1373 to 1482 of the family's 1533-position model. The record is from RNAcentral.
CCCGGGUCUUGUACACACCGCCCGUCACACCAUGGGAGUGGGUUCUACCAGAAGUAGGUAGGCUAACCGCAAGGGGGCCGUUGCCGAAGGUAUGGGUGGUGAUUGGGAUG